AUGCACGCUGGCGGCGUGCCUAAUACAUGCAAGUCGAGCGAACGGACGAGAAGCUUGCUUCUCUGAUGUUAGCGGCGGACGGGUGAGUAACACGUGGAUAACCUACCUAUAAGACUGGGAUAACUUCGGGAAACCGGAGCUAAUACCGGAUGAUAUUUUGAACCGCAUGGUUCCAAAGUGAAAGACGGUCUUGCUGUCACUUAUAGAUGGAUCCGCGCUGCAUUAGCUAGUUGGUAAGGUAACGGCUUACCAAGGCAACGAUGCAUAGCCGACCUGAGAGGGUGAUCGGCCACACUGGAACUGAGACACGGUCCAGACUCCUACGGGAGGCAGCAGUAGGGAAUCUUCCGCAAUGGGCGAAAGCCUGACGGAGCAACGCCGCGUGAGUGAUGAAGGUCUUCGGAUCGUAAAACUCUGUUAUUAGGGAAGAACAUAUGUGUAAGUAACUGUGCACAUCUUGACGGUACCUAAUCAGAAAGCCACGGCUAACUACGUG
RNAcentral lists this ribosomal RNA (496 nucleotides) under uncultured bacterium. Its description in RNAcentral is "partial 16S ribosomal RNA". It matches the Rfam family "Bacterial small subunit ribosomal RNA", at positions 29 to 507 of the family's 1533-position model. The record is from RNAcentral.